RNAcentral lists this ribosomal RNA (504 nucleotides) under uncultured bacterium. RNAcentral's name for it is "partial 16S ribosomal RNA". It matches the Rfam family "Bacterial small subunit ribosomal RNA", at positions 29 to 507 of the family's 1533-position model. The record is from RNAcentral.
ACGAACGCUGGCGGCGUGCCUAAUACAUGCAAGUAGAACGCACAGUUUAUACCGUAGCUUGCUACACCAUAAACUGUGAGUUGCGAACGGGUGAGUAACGCGUAGGUAACCUGCCUGGUAGCGGGGGAUAACUAUUGGAAACGAUAGCUAAUACCGCAUAAUUUUAUUUAUUGCAUGAUAAUUGAUUGAAGGAUGCAAUUGAAUCACUACCAGAUGAACCUGCGUUGUAUUAGCUAGUAGGUGAGGUAACGGCUCACCUAGGGGACGAUACAUAGCCGACCUGAGAGGGUGAUCGGCCACACUGGGACUGAGACACGGCCCAGACUCCUACGGGAGGCAGCAGUAGGGAAUCUUCGGCAAUGGACGAAAGUCUGACCGAGCAACGCCGCGUGAGUGAAGAAGGUUUUCGGAUCGUAAAGCUCUGUUGUAAGAGAAGAACGGGUGUGAGAGUGGAAAGUUCACACUGUGACGGUAUCUUACCAGAAAGGGACGGCUAACUACGUG